Molecule: ribosomal RNA, 497 nt
Filed under: uncultured bacterium
Lineage: Bacteria
Description: partial 16S ribosomal RNA
Rfam family: Bacterial small subunit ribosomal RNA
Source: RNAcentral
GAUGAACGCUGGCGGCGUGCCUAAUACAUGCAAGUCGAGCGAACAGACGAGGAGCUUGCUCCUCUGACGUUAGCGGCGGACGGGUGAGUAACACGUGGAUAACCUGCCUAUAAGACUGGGAUAACUUCGGGAAACCGGAGCUAAUACCGGAUAACAUGUUGAACCGCAUGGUUCAACAGUGAAAGACGGUCUUGCUGUCACUUAUAGAUGGAUCCGCGCCGCAUUAGCUAGUUGGUAAGGUAACGGCUUACCAAGGCAACGAUGCGUAGCCGACCUGAGAGGGUGAUCGGCCACACUGGAACUGAGACACGGUCCAGACUCCUACGGGAGGCAGCAGUAGGGAAUCUUCCGCAAUGGGCGAAAGCCUGACGGAGCAACGCCGCGUGAGUGAUGAAGGUCUUCGGAUCGUAAAACUCUGUUAUUAGGGAAGAACAAAUGUGUAAGUAACUAUGCACGUCUUGACGGUACCUAAUCAGAAAGCCACGGCUAACUACGUG